This 602-nucleotide ribosomal RNA is filed under the name Salmonella enterica subsp. enterica serovar Typhimurium. RNAcentral describes it as "bacterial LSU rRNA". It matches the Rfam family "Bacterial large subunit ribosomal RNA", at positions 331 to 937 of the family's 2925-position model. RNAcentral also lists the same sequence under 1 other name. Lineage: Bacteria; Pseudomonadati; Pseudomonadota; Gammaproteobacteria; Enterobacterales; Enterobacteriaceae. The record is from RNAcentral.
AGUGGAAGCGUCUGGAAAGGCGCGCGAUACAGGGUGACAGCCCCGUACACAAAAGCGCAUGUGCUGUGAGCUCGAUGAGUAGGGCGGGACACGUGGUAUCCUGUCUGAAUAUGGGGGGACCAUCCUCCAAGGCUAAAUACUCCUGACUGACCGAUAGUGAACCAGUACCGUGAGGGAAAGGCGAAAAGAACCCCGGCGAGGGGAGUGAAAAAGAACCUGAAACCGUGUACGUACAAGCAGUGGGAGCACCCUUCGGGGUGUGACUGCGUACCUUUUGUAUAAUGGGUCAGCGACUUAUAUUCUGUAGCAAGGUUAACCGUAUAGGGGAGCCGGAGGGAAACCGAGUCUUAACCGGGCGUUAAGUUGCAGGGUAUAGACCCGAAACCCGGUGAUCUAGCCAUGGGCAGGUUGAAGGUUGGGUAACACUAACUGGAGGACCGAACCGACUAAUGUUGAAAAAUUAGCGGAUGACCUGUGGCUGGGGGUGAAAGGCCAAUCAAACCGGGAGAUAGCUGGUUCUCCCCGAAAGCUAUUUAGGUAGCGCCUCGUGAAUUCAUCUCCGGGGGUAGAGCACUGUUUCGGCUAGGGGGCCAUCCCGGCUU